GUGUGAGUGUGUGAUGUGAGAGUGUGCGUGGCUGUGGGUGUGUGUGAUACGUGAGUGUGUGUGGGUGUGGCUGUGAGUGUGGGUGUGUGAGAGUGUGUGUGAUGUGUGAGUGUGCGUGGGUGGGAGUGUGGGUGAUGGUGUGAGUGUGGAAGGGUGAGUGUGUGAGGGUGUGAAUGAGUGUGAGUGUGAGUCUCAGUGUGUGAUGGUGUGAGUGUGAGUGAGGGUGUGAGUGUGGGUGUGAGGGGGAGUGUAUGCGUGAGGGGGAGUUGAGUGUGAGUGUGGAAGGGUGAGUGUGCGAGGGUGUGAGUGUGAGUCUCAGUGAGUGAUGGUGUGAGUGUGAGCGUGGGUGUGAGAGUGUGUGUGAGGGGGAGUUCAGUGUGAGUGUGCAAGGGUGUGAGUGAGUGUGACUGUGUGUGUGAGUCUCAGUGAGUGAUGGUGUGUGUCAGUGUGAGUGUGUGUGAGUGUGAGUGUGUGUGUGUGAGGGUGUGAGUAUGGGGGUGUGAGUGUGUGUGUGUGCCUGAGGGUGUGAGUGUGUGUGUGUGUGUGAGUGUGAGUCUCAGUGUGUGAUGGUGUGAGUGUGUCAGUGUGUGUGAGUGUGUGAUGGUGUGAAUGUGUGUGAGUGUGAGUGUGUGACUGAGGGUGUAAAUUGUGUGUGACACUGCGAGUGUGUGUGUGUGAGUGUGUGUGAGUGUGAGAGUGUGCUGGUGUGAAUGUGUGUGUGUGUGUGAUGGUGAGUGUGAGUGUGUGCCUGAGGGUGUGAGUGUGUGUGUGUGUGUGUGAGUGUGAUUGAGAGUGUGAUGGUGUGAAUGUGUGUGUGUCAGUGUGAGUGUGGACUGAGGGUGUGUGUGUGUGAGUGUGACACUAAGAGUGUGUGAGUGUGUGUGAGUGUGUGUGUGUGUCUCAGUGUGUGAUGGUGUGAGUGUGUCAGUGUGUGUGAGUGAGUGUGUGUGUGUGAGUGUGACACUGCGAGUGUGUGAGUGUGAGUGUGAGUGUGGACUGAGGGUGUGUGUGUGAGUGUGACACUAAGAGUGUGUGAGUGUGUGUGUGUGUGUGUGACACUGUGUGAGUGUGAGUGUGUGUGUGAGUGUGGGGGUGUCAGUGUGAGUGUGUCACUGUGUGUGUGAGUGUGAGUGUCAGUGUGUGAUGGUGUGAGUGUGUCAGUGUGUGUGAGUGUGUGUGUGUGAGUGUGACACUGUGAGUGUGAGUGUGUGUGAGUGUCAGUGUGUGAUGGUGUGAGUGUGUCAGUGUGUGUGAGUGUGUGUGUGUGAGUGUGACACUGUGAGUGUGAGUGUGUGUGAGUGUCAGUGUGUGAUGGUGUGAGUGUGUGAGUGUGAGUGUGUGAGUGUGUCAUAUUGUGAGUGUGUCACGUGUGAGCGUGUUGGUGUGAGUGUGAGUGGCGCUGUGACGCUGAGUGUGCCCCCGCGUCACGUGGUGUCGUGACCUCUGACCUUUCCCCCCUCCCCUCCCCGCGCUGUCUCCGUGGGGGGGGGCGGAGCUGGGAAAAAAGAGGGGCGUGGCUUCUCCUGGCCACGCCCCCGAUCGCACCGCUUUCCCCGUUGCCACGGCAACAGCCGGCCAGGUGGUGCGUGACGUCACGGCGGC
This is a long non-coding RNA of Gallus gallus (chicken), 1602 nucleotides long. The record is from Ensembl. NCBI's taxonomy places the organism in Eukaryota, Metazoa, Chordata, Aves, Galliformes, Phasianidae.